AGCGAACGCUGGCGGCAUGCCUAACACAUGCAAGUCGAACGAACGUAUCGGGGGUAUUGGCGGACGGGGUUGGAACACGACGGAACGUUCCCAUAUGGAUGGAAUAACUCAGGGAAACGGGUGCCAAUACCGAACGGGCCCUUCGGGGGAAAGAUUAAUCGCAUUUAGAGGGGCAAGCGUCUGAUUAGCUAGUUGGUUGAGUUAAUGGCUCACCAGGGCGACGUUCAGUAGCUGGUAUGAGAGGCUGAUCAGCCACAUUUGCACUGAGACACAGCACAAACUCCUACGGGAGGCAGCAGUGGGGGAUCUUGCGCAAUGGGCGAAAGCAUGACGCAGCCAUGACGCGUGAAUGAUGAAGGUCUGAGAGUUGUAAAAUUCUUUCACCGGGGAAGAUCAUGACGGUACCCGGAGAAGAAGCCCCGGCUAACUUCGUG
Molecule: ribosomal RNA, 434 nt
Filed under: uncultured bacterium
Lineage: Bacteria
Description: partial 16S ribosomal RNA
Rfam family: Bacterial small subunit ribosomal RNA
Source: RNAcentral